This 76-nucleotide transfer RNA is filed under the name Spirochaetes bacterium ADurb.Bin218. RNAcentral describes it as "tRNA-Met". It matches the Rfam family "tRNA". Rfam says of the family: Transfer RNA (tRNA) molecules are approximately 80 nucleotides in length. Their secondary structure includes four short double-helical elements and three loops (D, anti-codon, and T loops). Lineage: Bacteria; Pseudomonadati; Spirochaetota. The record is from RNAcentral.
UGGCGGAGUAGCUCAGUUGGUUAGAGCACACGGCUCAUAUCCGUGGUGUGGGGGGUUCGAGUCCCUCCUCCGCUAA